Unclassified non-coding RNA from Bison bison bison, 159 nucleotides. NCBI's taxonomy places the organism in Eukaryota, Metazoa, Chordata, Mammalia, Artiodactyla, Bovidae. The record is from Ensembl.
UAGUGUUCAUCAUGGCGAUCUGAUGGCACCAGGAGAAAUGGAGCCCCUGGCCAGUGUGAGUCGUAGCGGUGCAGGAGGGGAGACCCUGGAGGAAAGAGCCCGCCUAAAUUGCUGUCUGCAGAGUGAAUUUCCAGAGGCUUAGGAGGAGGAAGUUCUCCA